AGAGCGAACGCUGGCGGCAGGCCUAACACAUGCAAGUCGAGCGCCCCGCAAGGGGAGCGGCAGACGGGAGAGUAACACGUGGGAACGUACCCUUUGGUUCGGAACAACCCAGGGAAACUUGGGCUAAUACCGAAUAAGCCCUUACGGGGAAAGAUUUAUCGCCAAAGGAUCGGCCCGCGUCUGAUUAGCUAGUUGGUGAGGUAACGGCUCACCAAGGCGACGAUCAGUAGCUGGUCUGAGAGGAUGAUCAGCCUCACUGGGACUGAGACACGGCCCCAGACUCCUACGGGAGGCAGCAGUGGGGAAUAUUGGACAAUGGCGCAAGCCUGAUCCAGCCAUGCCGCGUGGGUGAUGAAGGCCCUAGGGUUGUAAAGCCCUUUCGGCGGGGAAGAUAAUGACGGUACCGCAAGAAUAAGCCCCGGCUAACUUCGCGCCAGCAGCCGC
This 444-nucleotide ribosomal RNA is filed under the name uncultured bacterium. Its description in RNAcentral is "SSU rRNA". It matches the Rfam family "Bacterial small subunit ribosomal RNA", at positions 26 to 518 of the family's 1533-position model. The record is from RNAcentral.